Molecule: ribosomal RNA, 440 nt
Filed under: uncultured bacterium
Lineage: Bacteria
Description: partial 16S ribosomal RNA
Rfam family: Bacterial small subunit ribosomal RNA
Source: RNAcentral
CCUACGGGUGGCAGCAGUGGGGAAUAUUGCACAAUGGGGGAAACCCUGAUGCAGCGACGCCGCGUGAACGAUGAAGGAUUUCGGUAUGUAAAGCUCUAUCAGCAGGGGAGAAAAUGACGGUACCUGACUAAGAAGCCCCGUCUAACUACGUUCCAGCAGCCGCGGUAAUACGGAGGGGGCAGGCGUUAUCCGGAUUUACUGGGUGUAAAGGGAGCGUAGACGGCUGUGCAAGCCAGAUGUGAAAGGCCGGGGCUCAACCCCGGGACUGCCGUUGGAACUGUGUGGCUGGAGUGUCGGAGAGGCAGGCGGAAUUCGUAGUGUAGCGGUGAAAUGCGUAGAUAUUAGGAGGAACACCAGUGGCGAAGGCGGCCUGCUGGACGAUGACUGACGUUGAGGCUCGAAAGCGUGGGGAGCAAACAGGAUUAGAUACCCCGGUAGUC